Molecule: ribosomal RNA, 467 nt
Filed under: uncultured bacterium
Lineage: Bacteria
Description: partial 16S ribosomal RNA
Rfam family: Bacterial small subunit ribosomal RNA
Source: RNAcentral
ACGAACGCUGGCGGCGUGCUUAACACAUGCAAGUCGAACGGAAAGGCCCUGCUUUUGUGGGGUGCUCGAGUGGCGAACGGGUGAGUAACACGUGAGUAACCUGCCCUUGACUUUGGGAUAACUUCAGGAAACUGGGGCUAAUACCGGAUAGGAGCUCCUGCUGCAUGGUGGGGGUUGGAAAGUUUCGGCGGUUGGGGAUGGACUCGCGGCUUAUCAGCUUGUUGGUGGGGUAGUGGCUUACCAAGGCUUUGACGGGUAGCCGGCCUGGGAGGGUGACCGGCCACAUUGGGACUGAGAUACGGCCCAGACUCCUACGGGAGGCAGAAGUGGGGAAUAUUGCACAAUGGGCGGAAGCCUGAUGCAGCAACGCCGCGUGCGGGAUGACGGCCUUCGGGUUGUAAACCGCUUUCGCCUGUGACGAAGCGUGAGUGACGGUAAUGGGUAAAGAAGCACCGGCUAACUACGUG